Molecule: ribosomal RNA, 468 nt
Filed under: uncultured bacterium
Lineage: Bacteria
Description: partial 16S ribosomal RNA
Rfam family: Bacterial small subunit ribosomal RNA
Source: RNAcentral
GACGAACGCUGGCGGCGUGCUUAACACAUGCAAGUCGAACGGAAAGGCCCUGCUUUUGUGGGGGGCUCGAGUGGCGAACGGGUGAGUAACACGUGAGUAACCUGCCCUGGACUUUGGGAUAACUUCAGGAAACGGGGGCUAAUACCGGAUAGGAGCUCCUGCUGCAGGGGGGGGGUUGGAAAGUUUCGGCGGUUGGGGAUGGACUCGCGGCUUAUCAGCUUGUUGGUGGGGUAGUGGCUUACCAAGGCUUUGACGGGUAGCCGGCCUGAGAGGGUGACCGGCCACAUUGGGACUGAGAUACGGCCCAGACUCCUACGGGAGGCAGCAGUGGGGAAUAUUGCACAAUGGGCGGAAGCCUGAUGCAGCAACGCCGCGUGCGGGAUGACGGCCUUCGGGUUGUAAACCGCUUUCGCCUGUGACGAAGCGUGAGUGACGGUAAUGGGUAAAGAAGCACCGGCUAACUACGUG